GUAGGUCGGUCUGUCGCGUGUAUAGCAAUAUACAGGAGGAAAGUCCGGGCAACUCAGAGCAACCUACUUCCUAACAGAAAGCUGUCCGCGAGGGUAGAGUAACGUAGAAGAAAAUAACCGCCAUUAAUCCUUUGGAGAGAUGGUAAGGGUGAGAAGGUGGGGUAAGAGCCUACCAGCUGUGUGGCGACAUACAGGCUGUGCGUCUUAGGUGUUGUAAGGUCAUGUAUACCGGCGUUAAGAGAGCUGCUCGCUCCAUGUCGGAGGGUAGACCGCUAAAGUAAUAAGGUGACUUAUUGCUCAGAUAAAUGACAGGCAUCCAGUUUACUGGAAACAGAACCCGGCUUACAGACCUACUGC
This 357-nucleotide RNase P RNA is filed under the name uncultured Bacteroides sp. RNAcentral describes it as "Bacterial RNase P class A". It matches the Rfam family "Bacterial RNase P class A". From Rfam's summary of the family: Ribonuclease P (RNase P) is a ubiquitous endoribonuclease, found in archaea, bacteria and eukarya as well as chloroplasts and mitochondria. The record is from RNAcentral. Lineage: Bacteria; Pseudomonadati; Bacteroidota; Bacteroidia; Bacteroidales; Bacteroidaceae.